UAUAUCAAGAGUUUGAUCCUAGCUCAGGAUGAACGCUGGCGGCGUGGAUAAGGCAUGCAAGUCAAGGGGGCCCGCAAGGGCAACCGGCAGACGAGGUAGUAAUAAGUAGGUACGAACCCAAAAGUCGCGAAUAGCUCGGCGAAAGCCGAGGUAAUACGCGAUGGUCUCUACGGAGUAAAGAUUUAUCGCUUUUGGAUCGGCCUGCUCGGUAUCAGCUAGUUGGUAGGGUAACGGCCUACCAAGGCAAUGACGCCUAGGGGACCUGAGAGGGUGACCCCCACCGAUGGGACUGAGACACGGCCCAUACACCUACGGGUGGCUGCAGUCGAGAAUCUUCCGCAAUGGACGAAAGUCUGACGGAGCGACGCCGCGUGGAGGAUGAAGUGCUUCGGUAUGUAAACUCCUUUUGCCAGGGAAAAAGUUAUUGAUUGUACCUGGAGAAUAAGAGGUUGCUAAACUCGUGCCAGCAGCAGCGGUAAUACGAGUGCCUCGAGCGUUAUCCGGAAUCAUUGGGCGUAAAGGGUGUGUAGGCGGUUAUGUUAGUCUCGUGUAAAAUUCCUCGGCUCAACCGAGGGCUCGCACAAGAAACGGCAUGACUAAGAGGAUGGAAGGGGUCUCUGGAACUCAUGGUGUAGCGGUGAAAUGCGUUGAUAUCAUGGGGAACACCAAAAGCGAAGGCAAGAGACUGGUCCAUUUCCUGACGCUGAAACACGAAAGCGUGGGUCGCGAAUGGGAUUAGAUACCCCAGUAGUCCACGCCCUAAACGAUGAUCUCUAGCUUUGAGGAGUAUCGACCCUCUGCGAGGCUAAGUUAACACGAUAAGAGAUCCGCCUGGGUAGUACGGCCGCAAGGUUGUUCCCCUUC
RNAcentral lists this ribosomal RNA (864 nucleotides) under Candidatus Parcubacteria bacterium. Its description in RNAcentral is "bacterial SSU rRNA". It matches the Rfam family "Bacterial small subunit ribosomal RNA", at positions 1 to 905 of the family's 1533-position model. The record is from RNAcentral. Lineage: Bacteria; Candidatus Parcubacteria.